GGAAAACAUGACUAACAGAAAAUAGGAGAAGGACGUAGAAACAAUAAUUACUCGACAAUUAGAUUACAGAAAAUUCUUUGACAGAAAUGUUUUUUGACAUCGGAAACAAGAAUCCGUUAUUUAUACAACCUGGAAGAUGGAAGAUCUGAAUAAUUUAAACUUUAAUUAAUUAUUUAUGUUAAUUGAAAUGUUAAUUUUUGAAAAUGUAAUUAAUUAAUAAAUUAUUUAUUUUAAUUAAAAA
Centruroides sculpturatus (bark scorpion) is the source of this 241-nucleotide long non-coding RNA. RefSeq lists it as uncharacterized. The record is from RefSeq and is a predicted model, not a curated record. The transcript has 3 exons. NCBI's taxonomy places the organism in Eukaryota, Metazoa, Arthropoda, Arachnida, Scorpiones, Buthidae.